UAAAUUCUGCUAGCAGAAUCACACUUGUAAGUCCCUUUGGCUUCUGCUAUGUUUCACUCUGGGUUGCUACAGCUGAUCUGAGGUGGAUCUGCAUGUUGACUAGGCACAAGUUUUAUGCUGGAUGCCU
This is a long non-coding RNA of Thalassophryne amazonica, 127 nucleotides long. RefSeq lists it as uncharacterized. The record is from RefSeq and is a predicted model, not a curated record. The transcript is spliced from 4 exons. Lineage: Eukaryota; Metazoa; Chordata; Actinopteri; Batrachoidiformes; Batrachoididae.